This 168-nucleotide ribosomal RNA is filed under the name uncultured Tistrella sp. RNAcentral describes it as "partial 16S ribosomal RNA". It matches the Rfam family "Bacterial small subunit ribosomal RNA", at positions 337 to 522 of the family's 1533-position model. The record is from RNAcentral. Lineage: Bacteria; Pseudomonadati; Pseudomonadota; Alphaproteobacteria; Geminicoccales; Geminicoccaceae.
UCCUACGGGAGGCAGCAGUGGGGAAUUUUGGACAAUGGGCGAAAGCCUGAUCCAGCAAUGCCGCGUGUGUGAUGAAGCCCUUCGGGGUGUAAAGCUCUUUCGACGGGAAAGAUUAUGACGGUACCCGGAGAAGAAGCUGCGGCUAACUACGUGCCAGCAGCCGCGGUA